AUUGAACGCUGGCGGCAGGCCUAACACAUGCAAGUCGAGCGAGCGGCGGACGGGUGAGUAAUGUCUGGGAAACUGCCUGAUGGAGGGGGAUAACUACUGGAAACGGUAGCUAAUACCGCAUACCAUCAGAUGUGCCCAGAUGGGAUUAGCUAGUAGGUGGGGUAAUGGCUCACCUAGGCGACGAUCCCUAGCUGGCCUGAGAGGAUGACCAGCCAAACUGGACAUGAGACACGGUCCAGACUCCUACGGGAGGCAGAAGUGGGGAAUAUUGCAAAAUGGGCGCAAGCCUGAGGCAGCCAUGCCGCGUGAGUGAAGAAGGCCUUCGGGUUGUAAAGAACUGUCAGCGGGGAGGCGUUACCUGCAGAAGAAGCACCGGAUAAAUCCGUGCCAGCCGCCGCGGUAAUUC
Molecule: ribosomal RNA, 406 nt
Filed under: uncultured bacterium
Lineage: Bacteria
Description: partial 16S ribosomal RNA
Rfam family: Bacterial small subunit ribosomal RNA
Source: RNAcentral